UGGUCUAUAACUCGGUUGGUAGAGAAUUAGGCUUUUAACCUAAUGGUCACGGAGUUCAAGUCUUAUUAUACCCA
Molecule: non-coding RNA, 74 nt
Organism: Dovyalis caffra
Lineage: Eukaryota; Viridiplantae; Streptophyta; Magnoliopsida; Malpighiales; Salicaceae
Source: the annotation of a GenBank genome assembly